UGCAGGAGCCUGCAGCGUGGGAUUGAGC
Molecule: non-coding RNA, 28 nt
Filed under: Homo sapiens (human)
Lineage: Eukaryota; Metazoa; Chordata; Mammalia; Primates; Hominidae
Source: RNAcentral